RNAcentral lists this transfer RNA (87 nucleotides) under bacterium. RNAcentral's name for it is "tRNA-Ser". It matches the Rfam family "tRNA". Rfam says of the family: Transfer RNA (tRNA) molecules are approximately 80 nucleotides in length. The record is from RNAcentral.
GGAGAGGUGUCCGAGUGGUUGAAGGAGCCGGUCUCGAAAACCGGUAAACCCGCAAGGGUUUCGUGAGUUCGAAUCUCACCCUCUCCG